UACGUAGGGACCGAGCGUUGUCCGGAAUCAUUGGGCGUAAAGAGCGUGUAGGCGGCCACUUAAGUCCUGCGUGAAAUCUUGCGGCUCAACCGCAAGCGGUCGUGGGAAACUGGGUGGCUAGAGUGCGGGAGAGGAGAGUGGAAUUCCUGGUGUAGCGGUGAAAUGCGCAGAUAUCAGGAGGAACACCGGUGGCGAAGGCGGAUCUCUGGGCCGUAACUGACGCUGAGGAGCGAAAGCAUGGGGAGCGAACAGG
Molecule: ribosomal RNA, 253 nt
Filed under: uncultured bacterium
Lineage: Bacteria
Description: partial 16S ribosomal RNA
Rfam family: Bacterial small subunit ribosomal RNA
Source: RNAcentral